Molecule: ribosomal RNA, 555 nt
Filed under: Triticum aestivum (bread wheat)
Lineage: Eukaryota; Viridiplantae; Streptophyta; Magnoliopsida; Poales; Poaceae
Description: partial small subunit ribosomal RNA
Source: RNAcentral
AUGGCCGCCCGCCUGCACCAUUUCCGCCUCCUCGCCGCGCUCCUUCUGUUGAUCGGCGCCCCCUCUUCAGCUAGCGCGGCCGGCGACGCCGUCGCGUCAGGGAACGGGAAGGUGCCCGUUGAGAUCUACUACGAGUCCCUGUGCCCCCCCUCAGCGCUGUUCGUGACGGACCGCCUCGCCGAAGCCUUGGAAGACCGCCUCCUGGAGGCCGCGGACGUGGCUCUCGUCCCCUACGGCAACGCCGAGGUCGGCAAGGACGGCACGAUCACCUGUGAGCAUGGCCCCGAGGAAUGCCUUCUCAACACCGUGGAGGCUUGCGCCAUCGACGCAUGGCCGGACGUGAAUGUGCAUUUCGGUUUCAUCAACUGCGUGGAGGGCCUCGUGUUGAACGAAACACAAGGGGAGUGGGAGUCGUGCUUCCACAAACUGGGGCUCGACCCCAAGGCUGUCACGGAGUGCUACAAGAGUGAGCACGGCCACAAGCUUUCACUCAAGUAUGGGAAACAGACUGGUGCGCUUGUGCCUCCGCUCAGCGGGUCCCACAGGUGGUGGUAG